GAUGAAGAACGUAGCGAAAUGCGAUAAGUAAUGUGAAUUGCAGAAUUCAGUGAAUCAUCGAAUCUUUGAACGCACAUUGCGCCCGCCAGUAUUCUGGCGGGCAUGCCUGUUCGAGCGUCAUUACAACCCUCAGGCCCCCGGGCCUGGCGUUGGGAUCGGCGGAAGCCCCCUGCGGGCACAACGCCGUCCCCCAAAUACAGUGGCGGUCCCGCCGCAGCUUCCAUUGCGUAGUAGCUAACACCUCGCAACUGGAGAGCGGCGCGGCCACGCCGUAAACCACCCAACUUCUGAAUGUUGACCUCGAAUCAGGUAGGAAUACCCGCUGAACUUAAGCAUAUCAAUAAGCGGAGGA
RNAcentral lists this unclassified non-coding RNA (352 nucleotides) under soil metagenome. Its description in RNAcentral is "partial contains 5.8S ribosomal RNA, internal transcribed spacer 2, and large subunit ribosomal RNA". The stretch from base 1 to 120 matches the Rfam family "5.8S ribosomal RNA", at positions 35 to 154 of the family's 154-position model. The record is from RNAcentral.